Molecule: ribosomal RNA, 253 nt
Filed under: uncultured bacterium
Lineage: Bacteria
Description: partial 16S ribosomal RNA
Rfam family: Bacterial small subunit ribosomal RNA
Source: RNAcentral
UACGUAGGGUGCAAGCGUUGUCCGGAAUUAUUGGGCGUAAAGAGCUUGUAGGCGGUUUGUCGCGUCUGCUGUGAAAUUUCGGGGCUCAACCCCGAACUUGCAGUGGGUACGGGCAGACUAGAGUGUGGUAGGGGAGACUGGAAUUCCUGGUGUAGCGGUGAAAUGCGCAGAUAUCAGGAGGGACACCGAUGGCGAAGGCAGGUCUCUGGGCCACUACUGACGCUGAGAAGCGAAAGCGUGGGGAGCGAACAGG